AUGACCUGGUUGAGAAGAUCCAGCUUCUUACAGGACCAUCCGAAGAAGCAUUCUUCCCCUGAAAGAAGUGAAGGUACCAUUCUCCACCAUGCUUAUUCUGUGUCUCAGAGAUUUGUUCAAAGAACUGCACUUUGUGAAUGGUGCUCCGGAGCACUUUCAGUGAUUACUACUCAUACCUCUUCCUGGGAAACUGUUGAAAGGACCAGCAAACAUCUGGUUUACUCAGAUAUAAUCUCAGAUUAAUGGAAUUGUGGAACAGAUUACACUCGUCUCACUAAGAUCGGAACAGCUGAGCAUCACAAACCAAGAGUGACAGCCAGUUUAAAAAAAAAAAGCCUGAAGAGUUUGGAUCUUUUUUUCCUUAGAAGCAAGAAAAAUGGAAAAUUGAUAAUCAAAGGUAAAAUUGUGUCAUUUCUUCUAAUAUAACACAACCCUAUGGCUUCUUUUCCAGCUAUCUUACGGAAAACAAUUUCUUUUUUUUUUUUUUUUUUUGAUAACAUGGUAUAUUCAAGCAUAAAUAUUUCUGGCUUGUAAUUCCAGACAUAUUAAGAGGCUGCUGAGUACAGAGUGUGAUUUUUAACUCCCUGGUUUGCUUGUUACAGAAUGUAAAAGAGACAUGUUUUAUAUGUUUAUAUGUUUAGUCUUCAUUCUUGUUGUUAAUCUAGAAUGGCAGAUGAGGUAAAUGCCGUUUUCCUGACUGUGGACCAAAAUAGUGUACUUUGCAUUAAGCAUAGAAUUACAAAAUUAGAUGGCAUCGUAUCAGCUUUUAACUUUUUUUCUUUUUAGUGUUGUGCAGGUUUGAACUUAUCAGUACUUAUCAGUACAGUGUGCUCACCAAGAUCUACAUGCUCUAAGAAAGGCAGUGGAGACACUUAAGGCAAUGCUGUAUCUCCACUCCACUCCUUUCCUAUCAUUAUGGAGUUUUGAGAAGGAAAAAAAGGAGAUUCUUAAUGAUGUACAAAUCUGAAACACCACAUAUGUGGUGUCUAAUCAGAAGGGGAUUAAAAUUGCUGAAUGUAUUAAUAAGCUGUCAUCUUUCUUGGGGUUGCUUGCUUGAGACAAUGAUUUGAGCAUGGUGAUUAACUGGGAAGCUCAUCCCAAGGAUGGGAGUUAGAGGUCAGGGAGUGUGAAUUGGGGAAGAAGCAAAGGCCAAACCAAGUGGGGAGUAGAAGGCCCUCAAUGCGGACUGCAGGAGCAUUAUUCCCUGGGACCUCUGGAAGCAUGGGGGACCUCCCAGAAUUUCUGCCUGAAGGACAUGUGGCAAGAGGUUUAUCCACUGGGUUUCCCACAUUGGUUGUGGAUUGGUCCCAGGGGCAUUGAUAACCCCUUCAAUGUGGGGCUGUGCUGGCAUUGCAUGGGUCUGGAAGUCACCCAGUGGUCACUUGAGUUUGGAUGCUAGAAAGGUGAAGAGAACCCCAGCUGGCGCAGAACCAUCUGUCUGUGCAGCUAUGGCUGAAAUCAUAGAAGGGCCAAGGGGUGUGAUACAGGGAACCAGAGGCAUCCAUUAGAUUUCCUUUUAACUUAAUUAUCAUAAAAUAAAUCAUAAAAUAAAUCAUAAAAUAAAUCA
Molecule: long non-coding RNA, 1567 nt
Filed under: Vulpes vulpes (red fox)
Lineage: Eukaryota; Metazoa; Chordata; Mammalia; Carnivora; Canidae
Description: lncRNA (ENSVVUG00000010068.1)
Source: RNAcentral